CAGGGUCUUCAGCUUGCUGGCAGAUUGAGGAACUUUUCAGCCUCCAUGCCGCAGUGAAAAGAGAAGAUGAUAGGGACAAAGAAAGAAAAAAUCAGAGAGAAGAUCUGGAUAUAAAGAAAAGAACUGUGAAAGGGAUCCUAAGAGAAGAUUUGAUUCACAUAAAUUGAUGGAAAAAUAUUAGAAACAAAUCCAAAACAUUAAUGAGAAUCGUGU
Molecule: long non-coding RNA, 213 nt
Filed under: Homo sapiens (human)
Lineage: Eukaryota; Metazoa; Chordata; Mammalia; Primates; Hominidae
Description: HSALNT0209940
Source: RNAcentral